This 77-nucleotide transfer RNA is filed under the name Cordylochernes scorpioides. Its description in RNAcentral is "tRNA-Thr". Lineage: Eukaryota; Metazoa; Arthropoda; Arachnida; Pseudoscorpiones; Chernetidae. The record is from RNAcentral.
ACUCAUAGGGUAGCCUAGUGGACAUGGCAUCUUCCCGGUAAGCGGAACACUGUUGGUUCGAUUCCCAUCCCUGAAUA